AAUAGCUCACUAGUCGAGUGACACUGCGCCGAAAAUGUACCGGGGCUAAACAUAUUACCGAAGCUGUGGAUUGUCCUUUGGACAAUGGUAGGAGAGCGUUCUAAGGGCGUUGAAGCAUGAUCGUAAGGACAUGUGGAGCGCUUAGAAGUGAGAAUGCCGGUGUGAGUAGCGAAAGACGGGUGAGAAUCCCGUCCACCGAUUGACUAAGGUUUCCAGAGGAAGGCUCGUCCGCUCUGGGUUAGUCGGGUCCUAAGCUGAGGCCGACAGGCGUAGGCGAUGGAUAACAGGUUGAUAUUCCUGUACCACCUAUAAUCG
RNAcentral lists this ribosomal RNA (315 nucleotides) under Staphylococcus aureus. RNAcentral describes it as "partial 23S ribosomal RNA". It matches the Rfam family "Bacterial large subunit ribosomal RNA", at positions 1136 to 1456 of the family's 2925-position model. The record is from RNAcentral. Lineage: Bacteria; Bacillati; Bacillota; Bacilli; Caryophanales; Staphylococcaceae.